GACCUCUUCAGAUCGCGUAUCCACGAG
RNAcentral lists this non-coding RNA (27 nucleotides) under Bombyx mori (domestic silkworm). Lineage: Eukaryota; Metazoa; Arthropoda; Insecta; Lepidoptera; Bombycidae. The record is from RNAcentral.